Molecule: long non-coding RNA, 330 nt
Filed under: Mytilus galloprovincialis (Mediterranean mussel)
Lineage: Eukaryota; Metazoa; Mollusca; Bivalvia; Mytilida; Mytilidae
Source: RNAcentral
UUUUUGUUUAAUAAUAUGCAUUGUGCAAGAACUGUUCAUAGUUGGAUAUCUGUCAUUAACUUAGUCAUUGACAUACAGUUUUCUGUUUUGUGUUGAUAAGAAGUAUCAUUGAUACAGUCAUUUGAAUAAAUUUACUGUUUUACGUUUUUUUCCCAAGACACAGAUUUCCUUAGUCUACCAACUAUUUUGAUUGGGCAUAACUGAUGAAAAGCCUGGUAACAAAAAUGAAUAGCAUGUACCAGUAUUCUUUUUUAAGCUAGUAAAAUAACACAUUUUUGUUAACCUCAAAAUACUCUGUGAUGAUUUUAGUUCAAUUAAUUUACAGAAUCC